RNAcentral lists this ribosomal RNA (492 nucleotides) under uncultured bacterium. RNAcentral's name for it is "partial 16S ribosomal RNA". It matches the Rfam family "Bacterial small subunit ribosomal RNA", at positions 29 to 507 of the family's 1533-position model. The record is from RNAcentral.
AGUGAACGCUGGCGGUAGGCCUAACACAUGCAAGUCGAACGGCAGCACAGUAAGAGCUUGCUCUUACGGGUGGCGAGUGGCGGACGGGUGAGGAAUACAUCGGAAUCUACUUUUUCGUGGGGGAUAACGUAGGGAAACUUACGCUAAUACCGCAUACGACCUACGGGUGAAAGCAGGGGAUCUUCGGACCUUGCGCGAUUGAAUGAGCCGAUGUCGGAUUAGCUAGUUGGCGGGGUAAAGGCCCACCAAGGCGACGAUCCGUAGCUGGUCUGCGGGGAUGAUCAGCCACACUGGAACUGAGACACGGUCCAGACUCCUACGGGAGGCAGCAGUGGGGAAUAUUGGAGAAUGGGCGCAAGCCUGAUCCAGCCAUACCGCGUGGGUGAAGAAGGCCUUCGGGUUGUAAAGCCCUUUUGUUGGGAAAGAAAAGCAGCAGGUUAAUACCCCGCUGUUCUGACGGUACCCAAAGAAUAGGCACCGGCUAACUUCGUG